GAGAUACGGGCUAUAUGUAUAUAUACUUCUGGGUAGCAGCAAAUAUUUUAAAGAAAAUUCAAGAAAUAAUUACUUUUAUUAUUUAUUUGCAAGUAUCUUUAGGUGAUAUGUAUAUACGGAACCACUUAAGUAGAAUAGAAAUACAAUUUAUGAUUUGUUUUCGGUUGUUUCGUUUUACACAGGAAUAUUUGAAAUAUUUUUGGGGAAUUUCCAAGCCCCUCGAUAUAUUAUACAAGCGUUUGCAUAUUUAUUCAUUUUUAUUGCAAUUAAUUUUACAUCAACCUUUCUUUCGGCACGCUUGUCGGAAGAAAGCUUAUCUUUUCAUGUAGCUGAACUAUAUAAAAAAUACGAUAUAUACAAAAAAUAUAGAGUAAUCUUUUUCGCAGUCAUAUUAAAGCCAAUUUUUUUGAUUAUUUACAAAGUCUUAUGUUUAUCCCCAUCUAAUAUUGACUUAUACAGUUCCCAUGAGUUUUUAUAUGUUUUUUUCGACAUAUUGUUUGAUAUUGUUUUAUAUGUCAUAGUAAGUUGAAAAACAAAAUUAUGAAUUGUCAUAUAUCCCUAUGUCAUACUUUAUGUAAACAUAACACAUUUAUAUAUAUAUAUAUACUAUUAUUAUUAUUUAUUUUUUUUUUCAACUAUUCGCAGCUUUUUGCUUUAUUUCGAACAGUUAAACCCAUUAAGCUCUUAAAGGUUAGUACAUAAACAAAAAUUACUCUCUUACCUAUAAAUACACGUAUAUACAAUAUAUAUAAUACACGCUUUUCUACAAAAAUAAACUAUAUCAUACAUUUAUAUUUGUCGGUGUA
Molecule: long non-coding RNA, 806 nt
Filed under: Piliocolobus tephrosceles (Ugandan red Colobus)
Lineage: Eukaryota; Metazoa; Chordata; Mammalia; Primates; Cercopithecidae
Description: lncRNA (ENSPTEG00000020991.1)
Source: RNAcentral